RNAcentral lists this ribosomal RNA (253 nucleotides) under uncultured bacterium. RNAcentral describes it as "partial 16S ribosomal RNA". It matches the Rfam family "Bacterial small subunit ribosomal RNA", at positions 524 to 776 of the family's 1533-position model. The record is from RNAcentral.
UACGUAGGGGGCAAGCGUUGUCCGGAUUUAUUGGGCGUAAAGAGCGUGUAGGCGGCUUUACAGGUCCGUUGUGAAAACUCGAGGCUCAACCUCGAGACGCCGGUGGAAACCGUAAAGCUAGAGUCCGGAAGAGGAGAGUGGAAUUCCUGGUGUAGCGGUGAAAUGCGCAGAUAUCAGGAAGAACACCAACGGCGAAGGCAGCUCGCUGGGACGGAACUGACGCUGAGGCGCGAAAGCGUGGGGAGCGAACAGG